Molecule: long non-coding RNA, 1428 nt
Organism: Oncorhynchus keta (chum salmon)
Lineage: Eukaryota; Metazoa; Chordata; Actinopteri; Salmoniformes; Salmonidae
Exons: 6
Source: RefSeq, a predicted model, not a curated record
AUGGAAACCUGGAAACGUGUGAGGCGACGCAGGAAAUCUCCACAAAACAGAUUCAACCCCACUACGAGUUUGAGUCACAACAACGAGCCAACCAACACAGCUGCUGCCGUUCAGGAGAACUUGCUCUCAGAGCUACAACCUUCCUUCGUUCAACCUGAGUCUCCCCGUAAGCACAUGGAGCCACAAGUCUGUCUCAAGAGAAAGAGGGAAUCUUCCCCAACACCAGAGAGCAGUAAAAGAGUGAAAGAGACAGAUGGUAACCGAGUUCCAGAGUCUGAGCACCGUUCCGGUUCCCGACCCCCGCGGCUCUCUCUGCCGUUUGACCGUCUCCAGGAACCGGUCACGUUGAAAGAUCUGACGGAACUGCUUCAGUUUGCUGCUCUGGGGAACACCGGUGGGCUGAAACAACCCAGUUGGUGUCGCCUCCACCACCAGAAGAAUGUGUCAGGGGUGAACGUGAUCCUUCUAGAAGGACUGAGCCAGGCCCACUUCUACAGACACUACCUGCACUUUAAACACCUCCGCACCAAGUACACCUCUAGACACAGUUAUACUCCAUCGCCUGGCAACAUGGUUUCUGAAAUAUUUAGCAGUGAAGUUGUCAACAACAGUCCUACCGAUGCGUUAGGAGACCAGAAGAGCGCUCAGCCAGAGGGAGGUAUGUAUGGGUAGCCCUGCCUGAGGGAGGUAUGUAUGGGUAGCUCAGCCAGAGGGAGGUAUGUAUGGGUAGCUCAGCCAGAGGGAGGUAUGUAUGGGUAGCUCAGCCAGAGGGAGGUAUGUAUGGGUAGCUCAGCCAGAGGGAGGUAUGUAUGGGUAGCUCAGCCAGAGGGAGGUAUGUAUGGGUAGCUCAGCCAGAGGGAGGUAUGUAUGGGUAGCCCUGCCUGAGGGAGGUAUGUAUGGGUAGCCCUGCCUGAGGGAGGUAUGUAUGGGUAGCCCUGCCUGAGGGAGGUAUGUAUGGGUAGCCCUGCCUGAGGGAGGUAUGUAUGGGUAGCCCUGCCUGAGGGAGGUAUGUAUGGGUAGCUCAGCCAGAGGGAGGUAUGUAUGGGUAGCCCUGCCUGAGGGAGGUAUGUAUGGGUAGCCCUGCCAGAGGGAGGUAUGUAUGGGUAGCCCUGCCUGAGGGAGGUAUGUAUGGGUAGCCCUGCCAGAGGGAGGUAUGUAUGGGUAGCCCUGCCUGAGGGAGGUAUGUAUGGGUAGCCCUGCCUGAGGGAGGUAUGUAUGGGUAGCCCUGCCUGAGGGAGGUAUGUAUGGGUAGCCCUGCCAGAGGGAGGUAUGUAUGGGUAGCCCUGCCUGAGGGAGGUAUGUAUGGGUAGCCCUGCCUGAGACUUAAACAUCUGCCACUCUCGGCACAAGGAGGAAUUUCCUCUUGGUCUAUUUGUUAGGAUGUUGAUUUCCGGAGUGUGUUUUGUACCUGUGCGUGUGUGUGCGUGU